Molecule: ribosomal RNA, 253 nt
Filed under: uncultured bacterium
Lineage: Bacteria
Description: partial 16S ribosomal RNA
Rfam family: Bacterial small subunit ribosomal RNA
Source: RNAcentral
UACGUAGGGUGCAAGCGUUAAUCGGAAUUACUGGGCGUAAAGCGAGCGCAGGCGGUUAUUUAAGUCAGGUGUGAAAGCCCCGAGCUCAACUUGGGACGUGCAUUUGAAACUGGGUAACUAGAGUGUGUCAGAGGGGGGUAGAAUUCCACGUGUAGCAGUGAAAUGCGUAGAGAUGUGGAGGGAUACCGAUGGCGAAGACAGCCCCCUGGGAUAACACUGACGCUCAUGCUCGAAAGCGUGGGUAGCAAACAGG